Molecule: long non-coding RNA, 601 nt
Organism: Sceloporus undulatus (fence lizard)
Lineage: Eukaryota; Metazoa; Chordata; Lepidosauria; Squamata; Phrynosomatidae
Exons: 3
Source: RefSeq, a predicted model, not a curated record
UUGGGAAAGGAGACCCCCUCAGCCCCAUGGACUCACUCCUGCCACUCAUUCCUAUAAGGGCUGGGACUCAGAGGAGUUGCCUGCCUCCUAGGCUGCACCUUCCGCCCUCCAUUGCCAUUGGCACUGACCUUUUCCCCAUUGCCUUCCCUCCCUCAGCCCUGUGGACCUCCUCCUCCUCCUUCGCACUCAGAGCAACCCUUCUCUACGGCUGAGGAUACGGCCUCUGACCCAGGGAAGCUCCGGCCAUAAAGGGCUGCAGAAGAGGCCUUUCUGGGGCUGCAGAAGUCAGGGUCUUUGUGUUGAAGGGACUUCAUCUGAGCCCCUUGUACAGAGCUUUAGGGCAUCUUUUCCUGGAAGUGACCCAAGGGCAGGGCCACCAGGACCCCCUGACCACAUGAUGGCCGACAUGAAGGCCAAGCGGAGGGAGUUGGGGUGCAACAGAAAAAGUCUGCUGAGGUACAACAACUCUUUGGUGACCUUUGCGGAUGUGGCGGUAUAUUUCACCGAGGAGGAAUGGAAAUUGUUGACAAAGAAGCAGAGACUGAUGUACAAUUCUGUGAUGAUGGAAAAUUAUGAAAAUGUGGCCUCUGUGGGUAAGGAA